GACGAACGCUGGCGGUGUGCUUAUCACAUGCAAGUCGAACGAUUACACGCCUUCCUUUUUGGUGUGUGUGGAUUAGUGGCUAACGGGUUAGUAACACGUUAGUAACUUGCCCCCUUCUUCUGGAUAACCGCAUGAAAGUGCGGCUAAUACGGGAUAUUCUUGGUCUGUCCCUUGACUGGUCUGCGAAAGCUACUGUUUCUGUGGGGGUUGGCCUCGCGGCCUAUCAGCUUGUUGGUGGUGUGUUGGCCUACCAAGGCGUUGACGGGUAUCCGGCCUGAGUGGAUGGACCGUCACACUGAGACUGAGAGCAGGGCCAGGCUACUACGGGAGGCAGAAGUAGCGAAUAUUGAACGAUGGGAGAAAGCAUGAAGCAGCGGCGCCGCGGGACUGAAGGAGACCUGCGGGUUGUGAACCUCUUUCGCCAAUGAAGCAGGUCUGCCUCGUUUGUGGGUGGGUUGACGGUAGCUGGAGAAGAAGCGACGGCUAACUACGUG
Molecule: ribosomal RNA, 494 nt
Filed under: uncultured bacterium
Lineage: Bacteria
Description: partial 16S ribosomal RNA
Rfam family: Bacterial small subunit ribosomal RNA
Source: RNAcentral